UUAGAGGAAGUAAAAGUCGUAACAAGGUCUCCGUUGGUGAACCAGCGGAGGGAUCAUUACCGAGUUAUACAACUCAUCAACCCUGUGAACAUACCUAAACGUUGCUUCGGCGGGAAUAGACGGCCCCGUAAAACGGGCCGCCCCCGCCAGAGGACCCCUAACUCUGUUUCUAUAAUGUUUCUUCUGAGUAAAACAAGCAAAUAAAUUAAAACUUUCAACAACGGAUCUCUUGGCUCUGGCAUCGAUGAAGAACGCAGCGAAAUGCGAUAAGUAAUGUGAAUUGCAGAAUUCAGUGAAUCAUCGAAUCUUUGAACGCACAUUGCGCCCGCCAGUAUUCUGGCGGGCAUGCCUGUUCGAGCGUCAUUACAACCCUCAGGCCCCCGGGCCUGGCGUUGGGGAUCGGCGGAGCCCCCCGUGGGCACACGCCGUCCCCCAAAUACAGUGGCGGUCCCGCCGCAGCUUCCAUCGCGUAGUAGCUAACACCUCGCGACUGGAGAGCGGCGCGGCCACGCCGUAAAACACCCAACUCUUCUGAAGUGACCUCGAAUCAGGUA
Molecule: ribosomal RNA, 554 nt
Filed under: Fusarium solani
Lineage: Eukaryota; Fungi; Ascomycota; Sordariomycetes; Hypocreales; Nectriaceae
Description: eukaryotic LSU rRNA
Rfam family: 5.8S ribosomal RNA (bases 210-363)
Source: RNAcentral